Unclassified non-coding RNA from Pongo abelii (Sumatran orangutan), 148 nucleotides. It matches the Rfam family "Metazoan signal recognition particle RNA". From Rfam's summary of the family: The signal recognition particle (SRP) is a universally conserved ribonucleoprotein. It is involved in the co-translational targeting of proteins to membranes. The record is from Ensembl. Lineage: Eukaryota; Metazoa; Chordata; Mammalia; Primates; Hominidae.
GCCAGGCAUGGUGGUGCAUGCCUGUAAUCCCAGCUACUUAGGAGGCUGAGGCAGAAGAAUUGCUUGAACCCGGGAGGCGGAGGUUGCAGCGAGCCGAGAUCAUGCAGCUGCACUCCAGCCUGGGUGACAGAGCGGGACUCUGUCUCAA